GACGAACGCUGGCGGCGUGCCUAAUACAUGCGAGUAGAACGCUGAAGAGAGGAGCUUGCUCUUCUUGGAUGAGUUGCGAACGGGUGAGUAACGCGUAGGUAACCUGCCUUGUAGCGGGGGAUAACUAUUGGAAACGAUAGCUAAUACCGCAUAACAAUGGAUGACACAUGUCAUUUAUUUGAAAGGGGCAAUUGCUCCACUACAAGAUGGACCUGCGUUGUAUUAGCUAGUAGGUGAGGUAAUGGCUCACCUAGGCGACGAUACAUAGCCGACCUGAGAGGGUGAUCGGCCACACUGGGACUGAGACACGGCCCAGACUCCUACGGGAGGCAGCAGGAGGGAAUCUUCGGCAAUGGGGGCAACCCUGACCGAGCAACGCCGCGGGAGUGAAGAAGGGUUUCGGAUCGUAAAGCUCUGUUGUAAGUCAAGAACGGGUGUGAGAGUGGAAAGUUCACACUGCGACGGUAGCUUACCAGAAAGGGACGGCUAACUACGUG
This 497-nucleotide ribosomal RNA is filed under the name uncultured bacterium. Its description in RNAcentral is "partial 16S ribosomal RNA". It matches the Rfam family "Bacterial small subunit ribosomal RNA", at positions 28 to 507 of the family's 1533-position model. The record is from RNAcentral.